CAUUCAGCCAUUUUGGAGGUCUAGCCUGUUGAGGCUGCUAGUGAUUUGCUCGUUUACUAAGUGAGGGGGCGGGUUUGCAGUUGGUUUCUGCAAGUGCAGUAAUACACCCUUCUUCUUCUGUUUGCUGGCUUAUUGGUUUUAGUAUGCCCAGUUAGGAAUUCAAAAAAUAAGGGUAAAGUAUUCUUUUCUCUUAUUUUAAAAGUAGAUCAAAACUUUGUAAAAGGAAAUUAAUUAGGCUCAAAAGUAAAUUCAUUUGUGGAGCUUGAUAUGAACUCUUAUGAGCCUUUGCCAUAAAUAUGACUGACAUCGGUUGCGACACUGCGAGCCACGCACCAGACACCCUCAACCACUUUGAGGUGGCGGUGGCGUAGACCCAAGAAACUACAAAGGAUUAGAAAAAGAAACAAGAGUAGCAGAAGUUGUCGUAGUGAGAGAGUGAGCCCACUGUACCGGAGCCCUUUGAACUUUGGUAAUGCUGCAGUAGCCUGAUAUCAACUAGCCCUGCAUCCCUUAGCAUCUCCACCAGCAGGUACGAGACCGAAAGAACCCUAAGUGAAGCUACUUUCCUGUUAGCGCGCAACCCAUUUAAGGCCUUUAAGACACGCAAUUGCCUCCGCUUGCAAAGCCGAGUCCAAAUACCCAAAAAAACUAUCGUAAAGUAACUUCCUUCUUGAACCAAUAUCGGCUGCAUGGUUGCCUGGUCGUGAGAUUGUUUGAACUGCUCCGGAGUGUUCAAGCUUUGUUGUGCUGUUCAGUUAGUGCUGCUGUCUGUUCUGUUCAACGUUGAUCUGUACGAUGUUGUUUUUCUGUUGGUGUUACUGAUCUGCACAUUGGUGUUGUUGAUCUUCAAACUGUUGCUUGACAAGAUUGGCCAUAAUCCACUGUAAUGCUGUUAAGGUGGUAUUAGUUCCUGCAUUGAGGAAUUCAAACAACAAGCUAUCUUUCUCUGGUUGUUGUUACCAUCUGGGAUUUCCACUGUCCACAAGCUAUUAGCAUAACAUAUGACCAACCUGUUGGUGUUGUUGUUCUCA
Molecule: long non-coding RNA, 1031 nt
Organism: Spinacia oleracea (spinach)
Lineage: Eukaryota; Viridiplantae; Streptophyta; Magnoliopsida; Caryophyllales; Amaranthaceae
Exons: 2
Source: RefSeq, a predicted model, not a curated record